Molecule: ribosomal RNA, 253 nt
Filed under: uncultured bacterium
Lineage: Bacteria
Description: partial 16S ribosomal RNA
Rfam family: Bacterial small subunit ribosomal RNA
Source: RNAcentral
UACGGAUGGUGCAAGCGUUAUCCGGAUUCACUGGGUUUAAAGGGUGCGUAGUUGGCUUUGUAAGUCAGUGGUGAAAGCCCGGAGCUCAACUCCGGAACUGCCAUUGAUACUGCUUAGCUUGAAUCACGUCGAGGUGGAUGGAAUAAUACAUGUAGCGGUGAAAUGCUUAGAUAUGUAUUAGAACACCGAUUGCGAAGGCAGUUCACUAGGCGUGUAUUGACACUGAGGCACGAAAGCGUGGGGAUCAAACAGG